RNAcentral lists this ribosomal RNA (305 nucleotides) under uncultured bacterium. Its description in RNAcentral is "bacterial SSU rRNA". It matches the Rfam family "Bacterial small subunit ribosomal RNA", at positions 336 to 656 of the family's 1533-position model. The record is from RNAcentral.
CGCCUACGGGGGGCAGCAGUGGGGAAUAUUGGGCAAUGGGCGCAAGCCUGACCCAGCAACGCCGCGUGAAGGAAGAAGGCUUUCGGGUUGUAAACUUCUUUUGUCAGGGACGAAGCAAGUGACGGUACCUGACGAAUAAGCCACGGCUAACUACGUGCCAGCAGCCGCGGUAAUACGUAGGUGGCAAGCGUUAUCCGGAUUUAUUGGGUUUAAAGGGUGCGCAGGCGGAUUUUUAAGUCAGCGGUCAAAUCGUGGGGCUCAACCCCAUCCAGCCGUUGAAACUGGGGAUCUAGAGUGUGCGAGAG